This is a non-coding RNA of Acinetobacter towneri, 117 nucleotides long. The record is from Rfam. Lineage: Bacteria; Pseudomonadati; Pseudomonadota; Gammaproteobacteria; Moraxellales; Moraxellaceae.
CGCUUUUUUCGCCYAGGCGGAGCUCGGCCGCCCACACAAAUAAUGGUGGAUUUUAUCCAGAACAAUAAAGAUCGAUAUGGUGUUGAAGCGAUUUGUAGAAUUUUACCGAUUGCAGCU